CGUGGGUACGUACGUGCGCAUAUAAAAGCGUCUCGUUAAUUUCCGGAGUGAAUAAAAGUAAAAAAAUAAAACAAAAAUAUGUAUAAAAAACUAGUAAUAAAAAUUUGUACCCGCGUAUAAGCAUACCUAUAAGUCUGCGAUAUUUUCGUUUGAAAUCGGUAAGCUUUUCGCUCCGUCAAAGGCCGCGGCGUACCAUACCUACCUAACCUAUGAGCCCGCCAGUACAUUUUAUUUGCGCGACCUUUACAUCGGAAAUAAUUGGUCGGAGACCCGUGCCAUCGAAAAAAACCACACACGAAACCACUAUUAUACAUAAUAGUAUUAUUACACAUCAAAGGACGUGAAUAUAUUAUAAUUUUACCAAUACAAAAUCAAAGAUAUUUUCCCUUUUCUCCUAUCACGCAUCACUCUCGCCUUAAUGGUUUCAUCGCGAACAACCGGACCGUACCAAUACGGGUUUUUAUUUUU
Molecule: non-coding RNA, 468 nt
Organism: Cinara cedri
Lineage: Eukaryota; Metazoa; Arthropoda; Insecta; Hemiptera; Aphididae
Source: the annotation of a GenBank genome assembly